This 70-nucleotide transfer RNA is filed under the name Camelus bactrianus (Bactrian camel). It matches the Rfam family "tRNA". Rfam says of the family: Transfer RNA (tRNA) molecules are approximately 80 nucleotides in length. Their secondary structure includes four short double-helical elements and three loops (D, anti-codon, and T loops). Lineage: Eukaryota; Metazoa; Chordata; Mammalia; Artiodactyla; Camelidae. RNAcentral also lists the same sequence under 2 other names. The record is from Rfam by way of RNAcentral.
GGGGCUAGCUCAGCAGUAGAGUGUGUGCUUAGCGUGCAUGAGGUCCUGGGUUCAAUCCCCUGUACCUCCA